AAACCACAUGAAAUAGUAAAAAAGUGUAAAAAAAUUAUGUUUAUAGCCAUCAUGCUAUUGCCUCAUCUGUUCCUAUUGCAGUCCUACCAUAAGACCCUUAAAUACAACUUAAAUUGGUGUCAAAAGAUGAGCAAAUCUAAAGGCAAAGCUUGUGGAGAAAGCAUGGACGAAAACAAAAGAAAACCAACAGGGCAAAACAGGGGAAAAACAAAAAAGAAAACCAACAGGGCAAAACAGGGGAAAAACAA
Molecule: unclassified non-coding RNA, 248 nt
Filed under: Hevea brasiliensis (rubber tree)
Lineage: Eukaryota; Viridiplantae; Streptophyta; Magnoliopsida; Malpighiales; Euphorbiaceae
Source: RNAcentral